UCCCUGGAAGACUAGUGGUUAGGCCACGAUGCUCUCACUGCUGCGGCCUGGGUUCGAUUCCCAGCCAGGGAA
Molecule: non-coding RNA, 72 nt
Organism: Pangasius djambal
Lineage: Eukaryota; Metazoa; Chordata; Actinopteri; Siluriformes; Pangasiidae
Source: the annotation of a GenBank genome assembly